GACCCCAUCGUCUAGCGGCCAAGGACGCCGGCUCUAUUCGAGUCGGAAACAGAGGUUCGAGUCCUCUUGGGGUCG
Molecule: transfer RNA, 75 nt
Filed under: Nannocystaceae bacterium
Lineage: Bacteria; Pseudomonadati; Myxococcota; Nannocystales; Nannocystaceae
Description: tRNA-OTHER
Rfam family: tRNA
About the family: Transfer RNA (tRNA) molecules are approximately 80 nucleotides in length. Their secondary structure includes four short double-helical elements and three loops (D, anti-codon, and T loops).
Source: RNAcentral